Molecule: long non-coding RNA, 629 nt
Organism: Papaver somniferum (opium poppy)
Lineage: Eukaryota; Viridiplantae; Streptophyta; Magnoliopsida; Ranunculales; Papaveraceae
Exons: 4
Source: RefSeq, a predicted model, not a curated record
CAACAGCAACACCUACUACUCCCGUACCAACAUAAAUAUAUACAGAUAGAUAAUACAAAUCGAGGAAAAUAAAAAGGUUUUCUUUGCUCUCACAAUGACUGCAAUUGUAUGUGCAAACAAUUUGGCAAAGCUCUAUACUUGAACUGGAUGAUUGUUUACUUGCGAGGUGCUGGUGGCUUCUCAAAAUCAUCACCCCCAUAUUCGUGUAACAAGUUCCCCACCGGUCAGAUUAAGCAUGUUCAGUUUGCAAAAAUCUGGUACACAACAAGUCUGUAUAUGUUCAAUGGACUUGUAUAAUGCACUCUUCUAAUUUCUCCCGCAGUUGAGUAGACAGUUCAUGAAACCAAAAUUGGUUUCAUCGUAUUUAUGAUGAAACCAAAACUGGUUUCAUCGUAUUUUUGCUAAUUUUUGUCGAUGAAACCAGUUUGUUGGUGAAGUAGUUACUUGUAUUUUGCCUUAAGAAGGUUUAUCUACCUGGAGUCUUGUUACUCUAUUUCUAUCAACAUAUAAUGGCAGUAUAUUACAUCAAAAAACCAACAAACAAUGAUAGUAUAACUUACAAGAUUUUGUCUUGAAUCAUUUUGUGACAGGUUUAGUGGUCGAACUUCUCUUUGGCUCGUUUUGGUAGU